RNAcentral lists this ribosomal RNA (492 nucleotides) under uncultured bacterium. Its description in RNAcentral is "partial 16S ribosomal RNA". It matches the Rfam family "Bacterial small subunit ribosomal RNA", at positions 29 to 507 of the family's 1533-position model. The record is from RNAcentral.
AGUGAACGCUGGCGGUAGGCCUAACACAUGCAAGUCGAACGGCAGCACAGUAAUAGCUUGCUCUUACGGGUGGCGAGUGGCGGACGGGUGAGGAAUACAUCGGAAUCUACUUUUUCGUGGGGGAUAACGUAGGGAAACUUACGCUAAUACCGCAUACGACCUACGGGUGAAAGCAGGGGAUCUUCCGACCUUGCGCGAUUGAAUGAGCCGAUGUCGGAUUAGCUAGUUGGCGGGGUAAAGGCCCACCAAGGCGACGAUCCGUAGCUGGUCUGAGAGGAUGAUCAGCCACACUGGAACUGAGACACGGUCCAGACUCCUACGGGAGGCAGCAGUGGGGAAUAUUGGACAAUGGGCGCAAGCCUGAUCCAGCCAUACCGCGUGGGUGAAGAAGGCCUUCGGGUUGUAAAGCCCUUUUGUUGGGAAAGAAAAGCAGCAGGUUAAUACCCCGCUGUUCUGACGGUACCCAAAGAAUAAGCACCGGCUAACUUCGUG